RNAcentral lists this ribosomal RNA (405 nucleotides) under uncultured microorganism. RNAcentral's name for it is "bacterial SSU rRNA". It matches the Rfam family "Bacterial small subunit ribosomal RNA", at positions 9 to 412 of the family's 1533-position model. The record is from RNAcentral.
GAGUUUGAUCGUGGCUCAGAUUGAGCGCUGGCGGCAUGCCUUACACAUGCAAGUCGAACAGCAGCAUGAUCCAGCUUGCUAGAUUGAUGGCGAGUGGCGAACGGUGAGUAAUACAUCGGAACGUGCCCUGUAGUGGGGGAUAACUAGUCGAAAGAUUAGCUAAUACCGCAUACGACCUGAGGGUGAAAGUGGGGACCGCAAGGCCUCAUGCUAUAGGAGCGGCGAUGUCUGAUUAGCUAGUUGGUGGGGUAAAGGCCCACCAAGGCGACGAUCAGUAGCUGGUCUGAGAGGACGAUCAGCCACACUGGGACUGAGACACGGCCCAGACUCCUACGGGAGGCAGCAGUGGGGAAUUUUGGACAAUGGGCGAAAAGCCUGAUCCAGCAAUGCCGCGUGUGUGAAGAA